ACAAGUUGACAAGAGCAUCGGGUGGAUGCCUUGGCGUCGGAAGGCGAUGAAAGACGUGGUAAGCUGCGAAAAGCCUCGGGGAGAAGCUAAACAUUCUGUGAUCCGGGGAUUUCUGAAUGGGGAAACCCGGCGGAGGUCAUGCUCCGUCGCGGGCACUUGAAUACAUAAAGUGUCCAGCGCCAACUCAGGGAAGUGAAACAUCUCAGUACCUGAAGGAAAAGAAAUCAAACGAGACUCCCAAAGUAGCGGCGAGCGAAAUGGGAUGAGCCCAAACCGGCUGGAUUCGUUCAGCCGGGGUUGUAGGGCCGGCAUAUGUGAUUCAUGAGUAGGCAGGGGAAAUGAGCUGGAAAGCUCUGCCAGAGCGGGUGACAGCCCCGUACCUGAAACCGAAAGCGACACAGCCGGUACCUGAGUACCGCGAGACACGUGGAACCUCGUGGGAAUCCGGGAGGACCAUCUUCCAAGGCUAAGUACUAACCGACGACCGAUAGUGUACCAGUACCGUGAGGGAAAGGUGAAAAGAACCUCUGUUAGAGGAGUGAAAUAGAAUCUGAAACCUGGUGCUUACAAGCUGUGAGAGCGGACUUGUUCCGUGAUCACGUGCCUUUUGCAUAAUGAGUCAGCGAGUUAAUCUGUACUGCAAGGUUAAGCGCAAGUGGAGCCGUAGGGAAACCGAGUCUGACAAGGGCGAUGAGUAGUGCGGAUUAGACCCGAAACCGGGUGAUCUAUCCAUGAGCAGGUUGAAGCAAGGGUAAAACCUUGUGGAGGACCGAACCAAUACCGGCUGAAAACGGUUUGGAUGACUUGUGGAUAGGGGUGAAAGGCCAAUCAAACCCGGUGAUAGCUGGUUCUCCCCGAAAUAUAUUGAGGUAUAGCCUCAUGGAUUGUCUACCGGAGGUAAAGCACUGACAGGGCUAGGGGUCCUACCAGAUUACCAAACUCUAUCAAACUCAGAAUGCCGGUCAGAUGUACCAUGGGAGUCAGACGGCGGGUGCUAAGGUCCGUCGUCGAGAGGGUAAGAGCCCAGAUCAACAGCUAAGGUCUCCAAAUCUAUGCUCAGUGGUUAAGGUGGUGACGUUGUAGAGACACCCAGGACGUUGGCUUAGAAGCAGCCAUCGUUUAAAGAAAGCGUAAUAGCUCACUGGUCUAAUGACGUUGCGCCGAAAAUGUAACGGGGCUAAGCAUAGUACCGAAGCUUUGAAUUCCGCAUAUGCGGUCUGGUAGGGGAGCGUUCUUCACGGGCUGAAGGUGUGUCGUAAGGCAUGCUGGACUGUGGAGAAGUGAUUAUGCUGACAUGAGUAACGAUAAAACGGGUGAAAAACCCGUUCGCCGUAAACCCAAGGUUUUCCGGGUAAAGGUAAUCUUCCCGGAGUUAGUCGGCCCCUAAGGCGAGGCUGAAAGGCGUAGCUGAUGGGAAACGUGUUAAUAUUCACGUACUUGUGUGUUCGCGCGAUGAAGGGACGCAGGAAGAUAGGCAAGCCGGGCGCUGGUUGUCCCGGUGCAAGCGUGUAGGGAUGAGAAGUUGGCAAAUCCGCUUCUCUCUAUCCUGAGACGCGAGUCCGUGACCGAAAGGUCUGAAGUUGUUGAGUCUAUGCUGCCUAGAAAAGCUUCUAAGUAUAGGACACGCAAACCGUACCGGAAACCAACUCAGGUGGGUGGGAUGAAUAAUCCAAGGCGCUCGAGAGAACUCUGGCCAAGGAACUCGGCAAAAUAACCCCGUACCUUCGGAAGAAGGGGUGCUUUUUAGGGUGAAGCGAUUCACUCUGUCGAGCCCUGAAAAGCCGCAGAGAAAUGGUGGUGGCGACUGUUUACUAAAAACAUAGGUCUGUGCCAAGUCGUAUAGACGACGUAUACGGACUGACGCCUGCCCGGUGCUGGAAGGUUAAAAGGAGGAGUCAGCGCAAGCGAAGCUCCGAAUUGAAGCCCCAGUAAACGGCGGCCGUAACUAUAACGGUCCUAAGGUAGCGAAAUUCCUUGUCGGGUA
This 1984-nucleotide ribosomal RNA is filed under the name human gut metagenome. Its description in RNAcentral is "bacterial LSU rRNA". It matches the Rfam family "Bacterial large subunit ribosomal RNA", at positions 1 to 1978 of the family's 2925-position model. The record is from RNAcentral.